GGUUCCCAUGCACUGAUGUUCUUCAACCAGCUCCAAAGCCUUUCAGGAAAAUACACGAAGGUGACAGCAACAGAAAAUACUCUGAAUUGUGAUUUUUUGGAAAAGAACAACUCUUAAGGCCACCUUAAGUCUUGUGAAAACACAGAUGCGCAAGGACGACGGGUGCAGAUUCCUGGUUUUUCUCCUGCUGCCUGCACACGCGUUGGGCGCGUGCAGCUUCCCAACCGCUGCAGCUGACCCCAUCUCAGCACCUCCCUGAAUGGCAUCAGCCCCCAGUGAGCCCCCGGGGCUGGUUUUGCCCCAAACAAAAGAAAAUGCAAUCAAACCCGUUAACAUUGGCCUCAUCCCCUGGUUAAGGCAGGAGCCGGCGCCGUGGGGGACCUGAGACAGGUGUUUGCAAUGCAAUGGCACCACCGACCGUGGGAAAAGGAGCAAAGAAAAACGACUGGGACCAUUAGCUGGUGCCGCGACCGGCGGCUCAGGAGCACCCGUGUCCUCCUGCCCACCGAGCACGGCGACAGCCCAACUGGACCACGUGCAUUUUACGGGAAUUUUCCCCAGCACCGUUUAAGUUACCAGCAUGCCCAUAGUCAACGGGUACCAGGGAUGGACAGGAAAGAAAGUCCCAGGGAAAUACCUUGUUUUCUAGCCCAACCUUGCCAUGCUGGUUUGGGGCCUGCACCCUCAAGCACAACCGCAGCCUCAUGGAGAAGAGGAGAUGCUCUGCAAGGUGCAUCUUUUCUUCAGGUGCCACCGAGGGGGUCACGGGGCCUUUUCCGCAAUCCCAUGCUGUCCCAGCCCAGGGAGAGUUGGCCAACGGGAUGUCCACCCACGAUGCUGCAGCCCCAUCUCCUCCUGCCCAUCCCAGUGCUCACCUCCGCCUGGUCCCCAAAGCUCAGCGAUGAUACCCAGGGAGCUGCCGACACAAGCAGGCAUGUCCUCUUCUGCCUGAACCACAUCUACCAAAAUAAAUCUGGGGUCCGCAUCUACCAAAAUAAAUUUGCACGUGUGACAGCCCAGGGCUGGGGGAAAUCAGGGCCCUUCCAGGAGCUGAAGGGGAGCAGGAAAGAUGCGUGCAGCUUUCCCGCUUUGUUGGCUGUCUUUAUUUCCCCAUCUCAGACCCACAUGCGGUAUUUCUCUGACUUCCUUUUUCAUGAUUUUUCUGACUGUGCGUUUACAACUGCGGGUGUCAGAGACCUGCUUCACCCCCUGGAAGCAAGCGUUGAUCCAAGCGCCCGCUUUGGGUAGUCAGUGAUGCAGAUUUCUACCACAUUUUUAGUGCGAGACGAUUUUUUUCUGGGAAGACUUCCCUUAGCAGCAUUCGUAAGAACGCCCUGCACAUGAAACAACACAAGGAGGGUAUGGCCUUUUUGGAUGCUGUUGCAGGGACAGAGCGUCCUGGAACUUCUGAC
RNAcentral lists this long non-coding RNA (1412 nucleotides) under Apteryx owenii (little spotted kiwi). Its description in RNAcentral is "lncRNA (ENSAOWG00000001819.1)". Lineage: Eukaryota; Metazoa; Chordata; Aves; Apterygiformes; Apterygidae. The record is from RNAcentral.